Molecule: ribosomal RNA, 484 nt
Filed under: uncultured bacterium
Lineage: Bacteria
Description: partial 16S ribosomal RNA
Rfam family: Bacterial small subunit ribosomal RNA
Source: RNAcentral
GAUGAACGCUGGCGGCGUGCUUAACACAUGCAAGUCGAACGGUGAUGCAGGAGCUUGCUCUUGUGGAUCAGUGGCGAACGGGUGAGUAACACGUGAGCAACCCGCCCCUGACUCUGGGAUAAGCGCUGGAAACGGCGUCUAAUACUGGAUAUGUGAUGUGACCGCAUGGUCUGCAUCUGGAAAGAAUUUCGGUUGGGGAUGGGCUCGCGGCCUAUCAGCUUGUUGGUGAGGUAAUGGCUCACCAAGGCGUCGACGGGUAGCCGGCCUGAGAGGGUGACCGGCCACACUGGGACUGAGACACGGCCCAGACUCCUACGGGAGGCAGCAGUGGGCAAUAUUGCACAAUGGGCGGAAGCCUGAUGCAGCAACGCCGCGUGAGGGAUGACGGCCUUCGGGUUGUAAACCUCUUUUAGCAGGGAAGAAGCGAAAGUGACGGUACCUGCAGAAAAAGCACCGGCUAACUACGUGCCAGCCGCCGCCGUAA